GCUGCUCGAAACUUUGCACACCUCUUCGUGGUGGGCAGCAGGCAACACAUCAGAAUGUGGCUAAGAUGCAGAG
This 73-nucleotide ribozyme is filed under the name unclassified sequences. RNAcentral describes it as "HDV ribozyme from F. prausnitzii". It matches the Rfam family "HDV ribozyme from F. prausnitzii". The record is from RNAcentral.